GAUGAACGCUGGCGGCGUGCCUAAUACAUGCAAGUCGAGCGAAUGGAUUAAGAGCUUGCUCUUAUGAAGUUAGCGGCGGACGGGUGAGUAACACGUGGGUAACCUGCCCAUAAGACUGGGAUAACUCCGGGAAACCGGGGCUAAUACCGGAUAACAUUUUGAACCGCAUGGUUCGAAAUUGAAAGGCGGCUUCGGCUGUCACUUAUGGAUGGACCCGCGUCGCAUUAGCUAGUUGGUGAGGUAACGGCUCACCAAGGCAACGAUGCGUAGCCGACCUGGAAGGGGGAUCGGCCAAACUGGGACUGGGACACGGCCCAGAAUCCUACGGGAGGCAGCAGUAGGGAAGCUUCCGCAAUGGACGAAAGUCUGACGGAGCAACGCCGCGUGAGUGAUGAAGGCUUUCGGGUCGUAAAACUCUGUUGUUAGGGAAGAACAAGUGCUAGUUGAAUAAGCUGACACCUUGACGGUACCUAACCAGAAAGCCACGGCUAACUGCGUGCCAGCCGCCGCGGUAA
Molecule: ribosomal RNA, 515 nt
Filed under: uncultured bacterium
Lineage: Bacteria
Description: partial 16S ribosomal RNA
Rfam family: Bacterial small subunit ribosomal RNA
Source: RNAcentral